UUUUAUUUUGGGUGACGUCAGCCGGGAGAUGAGAGUGAGCCCUCAUAUUCCUCUUGUCUCCCCUAAAGAUGGGAGGCCAGGGGUUUUAAAGGUUGUAAGGAAUGUGGCUGCUUGCAUGGAGGAGGAGAUAAGGAAUUCUGCAGGUGGCUGUCCUUGAUUAUCUGCCUCUGUAGGGGAUGGUGGAUUCUGGUGCCAGGAAGCCAAGGAGUAAGCAGGGAAUGGGGAUGAGUGUUUUUAUUUUAACCCCAUAUAUGCUGGGUUUAAUGUAGGGGAACCGAUAUCAGGGCUGGUAUCAUUACCACUACUAUGAUUUGACUGACUUGGGACCUCAUAUUUGGUUUUGUGUUGAAGUUUCCCCUUCACCGUGGACUGUUUUUCAAGUCCAGCCAUACCCUCAGCCAUGACAUUGACUACAGCAUUUGCUCUGCACAAACCUCUGUACUCCACAGGCAGACCUUCAUACCGAGUGCUUCCUUAAUCCUCUGCUUGCUUCUGUAAUCACCUUCGGGAAGAGGGGCCAUCCCCUUCAGGUUGCUCUACGGGGAAGCCAUUCUGCAGAAAGGCCAGCUUGCCACUGGAAUUUUUAUUGGAUUUCUUCAGAGACACAAUGUAGCAGCAGUUUUAACGAAUGUGCUUCCAUUUGUAAUGGAAAACUUAAUCUUGUGAAAUUAAGAGAGUGCAGUCACCUGUGGCUUAAAACUCAGUUUGGGGGUGGUGGUGGGUAAUUCCCAGUUGAUUAGGAUUAUUUCCCUGUGCUCCUCUGGUCAGGAUUCCAGUGUGGGCAGUGGGAGGGGGAGAGGCUUAAGUGUCAUCCUAGCAUCGUCUCAGUGCUUCUUUCUGGGUCUUCUUCCCUGUGGGAUCCACUGAGAGUGCACUGUCUGAUCUCCCACCCAAGUGCACACUGGUCAUUGCAGGACAGCUUGAGGGCUCUUCCAUGUUGAUCUGGCCCAGCCUGGAUCUCAGGGGCCUGAUGACUUGGUACCAACUAGCUGUAGGCUCCUUUGCCAACCUGGGCUGUCCAUCCCUCUAGCCUCAUAUGGACCAUGGUUCCUGGGAGGCACUUCAGCAUUCCUCUAGGGCC
This 1081-nucleotide long non-coding RNA is filed under the name Equus caballus (horse). RNAcentral describes it as "lncRNA (ENSECAG00000048446.1)". The record is from RNAcentral. Lineage: Eukaryota; Metazoa; Chordata; Mammalia; Perissodactyla; Equidae.